Long non-coding RNA from Colossoma macropomum (tambaqui), 546 nucleotides. RefSeq lists it as uncharacterized. NCBI's taxonomy places the organism in Eukaryota, Metazoa, Chordata, Actinopteri, Characiformes, Serrasalmidae. The transcript has 5 exons. The record is from RefSeq and is a predicted model, not a curated record.
CUUCCUCCAAAUUUCUGACUCCGGUCUUUCGCCUCUGCUCGCUGUGGGAGAUGGACGUGUCUGCGAUGGCUGAUUCACCUCUAGAAGGUCUGACUUUUGAGUCACCUGGUUGACUAGGAUGACUUUGUUGCUUCCACGAGUGAACCUGUAACGGGAAGAGAAAUGAACAUGUAGCUCCUGGCUGGAAUGGAGAGUCCUACACAAAAUUACAGCAGGUGCUGAAAGUGGAAAAUGUGGAUUGUGAAAAUGACAGUAGGCCUGCCACGUCACAUGUAGCUAGGUGCUGCUGUCUUAACCCUGAUGGACGCAUCUAUGCUGUGGCGUUGUGCAUUUGAUACAGAUUGUAUAAAUUUGUUUAGCCUUUGACUUUGUACAGCAUUUGUCUGUAAAAUGGAGCAGGUCUGUCAGUUCCAACUGGUUUGCCAAAUUGUUUCUGUACAAGUGCAGAUUAAUGUAUAGGCUGUGUUCUAACAGUCCAAAUGCCUUUUCUCAGGUACAUGUAAGCAAGUUAAAACUUAUUUUUUUUAAAUAAAAGUUCGGCCUUUA